GCAAUGGGCGAAAGCCUGACUCAGCAACGCCGCGUGGGCGAUGAAGGCCUUCGGGUCGUAAAGCCCUUUUCUGAGGGACGAGGAAGGACGGUACCUCAGGAAUAAGUCACGGCUAACUACGUGCCAGCAGCCGCGGUAAUACGUAGGUGGCCAGCGUUAUCCGGAAUCAUUGGGCGUAAAGCGCGUGUAGGUGGUUUCGUAAGUCGGACGUGAAAUCUCCUGGCUUAACUGGGAGGGGCCGUUCGAUACUGCGGAUCUUGAGGUCGGGAGAGGGACGUGGAAUUCCCGGUGUAGUGGUGGAAUGCGUAGAUAUCGGGAGGAACACCAGUGGCGAAGGCGGCGUCCUGGCCCGCACCUGACACUCAGACGCGAAAGCGUGGGGAGCGAACGGGAUUAGAUACCCCGGUAGUCCACGCUGUAAACGGUGGAUACUAGGUGUUGGUGGCUAUCGUCAUCAGUGCCGUAGCUAACGCGUUAAGUAUCCCGCCUGAGGUCCACGG
This 500-nucleotide ribosomal RNA is filed under the name uncultured bacterium. RNAcentral's name for it is "bacterial SSU rRNA". It matches the Rfam family "Bacterial small subunit ribosomal RNA", at positions 368 to 885 of the family's 1533-position model. The record is from RNAcentral.